Dermacentor albipictus is the source of this 1197-nucleotide long non-coding RNA. RefSeq lists it as uncharacterized. The record is from RefSeq and is a predicted model, not a curated record. NCBI's taxonomy places the organism in Eukaryota, Metazoa, Arthropoda, Arachnida, Ixodida, Ixodidae.
CGCGGUCAGGAUUAUGUGCACCUGCGGCGGAAGGCGCUGCAGGAAAGUUCCUGCACAAGCGCGCUUUUGGUUGAAGGAACAAGUUUUCCAGCCAAGCCUUGCCUGCGAUGCAACAAGACGCCCGCUGGAUGAGCAUCGCCUUACGGUGGUGGUAGCGCUUUUAACGGGCAGGGAGCGUAGAACAUCGAGGAGAACUGCAGUAGUAUUAGGCGAAAGCGCUCCAACGACAGGGUCGAAACAUGGUCAAUUGAAAACUUGGGCGGUGAUGGCGGAGCAAGGAGUCGAUGGUAAUGAACCGAAGUUCCCCUUCCGGCGACCAGACCUCGGGGAGCUUGAGAGCGAAACUCGGACUCACGGGGAGGUGGCGUUGACGUGGCACUUGACCGGAAGAAUCCGAGGCCAUUGGCUUACUUUACAGAAGGCGGCCUGCAAAGAAAAUCGGCUCAAGCUCCUGACGGCGGUGGGCCUAGCAAAGCGGCUGAGAAAACCCCAUGUCGGCGGUCUGCACUAGCCGCUCUUUGGCACACACGGCAGUUAGCUGUUUAUCUACCAAGACAGGUGUGACAAAACGGAUUUUCCCGCAACUCCAUUUCGAAGCGCUCGACAAACGCCAAUCACGGUGAUCCACCUGCCUGUCACUCCAAUAGUCUGGGAAAUUCGGAAUCGAGGUGUUCGAGAACUUCCCGUACACCGUCGCCAUUUCUGACUCGGACAACGACACCAUCUUCGAAUGCGUGGCCGCUAACCGAACUGAGAUUGACCCCGAAGCUCACACCGCCACAUUCGUUUGGCUCUUCCAAGGGAGUGAGAACAGUCCAAAGCAAGACAUUCCUUUCUACGUGAAGGCCGAAGAGGAACCUGGAACGUUCAGCUUCGGCGUGGGAAGAGAUCCUACAGUUAGGGAAGGCCGCUACUACUACACAGACUACAAGACCUGCGUCGUAUUGGACAUGGAAUAUCACGGACAUCAAUGCAUUCUGUGGACACAGAAAGAAGUAAAGGACGCGGUGCCGCAGGACUGCAUUGACCAGUUUGUCGACACGUGUGGCGUCAUCGUUCCCGAGCACAGCCGAGACCUCUGCCCAGAUGGUGAAGGCGACUACUAGGUGCACUCCGGCAUCUAAUUUUAAACUGUACUAUAUGCCUCAAAAUAUGAGCGUACUCUUGCGACAUAAAUAAAGUUUUUCAACAGAGCGA